GUAGGGAAUAUUGGGCAAUGGAGGCAACUCUGACCCAGCCAUGCCGCGUGCAGGAUGACGGCCCUCUGGGUUGUAAACUGCUUUUAUACGGGAAGAAAAAAUACUACGUGUAGUAUACUGACGGUACCGUAAGAAUAAGGAUCGGCUAACUCCGUGCCAGCAGCCGCGGUAAUACGGAGGAUCCAAGCGUUGUCCGGAUUUAUUGGGUUUAAAGGGUGCGUAGGCGGAUCUUUAAGUCAGUGGUGAAAGCCUGCAGCUUAACUGUAGAAUUGCCAUUGAAACUGAAGAUCUUGAAUGUGGUUAAAGUAGGCGGAAUGUAUCAUGUAGCGGUGAAAUGCUUAGAUAUGAUACAGAACACCGAUAGCGAAGGCAGCUUGCUGAACCAUUAUUGACGCUGAGGCACGAAAGCGUGGGGAGCGAACAGGAUUAGAAACCCCUGUAGUCC
RNAcentral lists this ribosomal RNA (445 nucleotides) under uncultured bacterium. RNAcentral's name for it is "bacterial SSU rRNA". It matches the Rfam family "Bacterial small subunit ribosomal RNA", at positions 354 to 796 of the family's 1533-position model. The record is from RNAcentral.